RNAcentral lists this ribosomal RNA (460 nucleotides) under uncultured bacterium. RNAcentral's name for it is "partial 16S ribosomal RNA". It matches the Rfam family "Bacterial small subunit ribosomal RNA", at positions 338 to 795 of the family's 1533-position model. The record is from RNAcentral.
CCUACGGGGGGCAGCAGUGAGGAAUAUUGGUCAAUGGACGAGAGUCUGAACCAGCCGAGUAGCGUGAAGGAUGACUGCCCUAUGGGUUGUAAACUUCUUUUAUAUGGGAAUAAAACGUUCCACGUGUGGGAUUUUGUAUGUACCAUAUGAAUAAGGAUCGGCUAACUCCGUGCCAGCAGCCGCGGUAAUACGGAGGAUCCGAGCGUUAUCCGGAUUUAUUGGGUUUAAAGGGAGCGUAGGUGGAUUGUUAAGUCAGUUGUGAAAGUUUGCGGCUCAACCGUAAAAUUGCAGUUGAAACUGGCAGUCUUGAGUACAGUAGAGGUGGGCGGAAUUCGUGGUGUAGCGGUGAAAUGCUUAGAUAUCACGAAGAACUCCGAUUGCGAAGGCAGUUCACUGGACUGCAACUGACACUGAGGCUCGAAAGUGUGGGUAUCAAACAGGAUUAGAUACCCGAGUAGUC